AUAAAGAGUAAAACCUGCCCAAUGAAUUUUCUUCAAUGGCCGCGGUACCCUGACCGUGCAAAGGUAGCAUAAUAAUUUGCCUCAUAAUUAGAGGCUAGUAUGAAUGGUUUAACAAGAUUAUACCUGUCUCUUUAUAGUUUUAAAAAAAUUAUUUUUUAGGUUAAAAUACCUAAAUGAAAUUGAAAGACGAGAAGACCCUGUCGAGCUUAAAAAUAACACAUAAAAACUAGACACAUUACUAACAAAUCCACAAAUUAUAUAUUAUUUUAGUUGGGGCGACUAAGGAACAACCAAAACUUCCUAUAAAACAAGCAAUUCACAUAUAUUGACCCAACAAGGUUGAUCAAAGAAUAACAGCUACCGCAGGGAUAACAGCAUAAUUUUUUUUAAGAGCUCUUAUCGAAAAAAAAGUUUGUGACCUCGAUGUUGGACUAAAGUACCCCAUACGAUGUAGAAGUCUAUAAAGGUUGGUCUGUUCGACCAUUAAUACUUUA
Molecule: ribosomal RNA, 494 nt
Filed under: Gibberula sp. MNHN-IM-2013-2296
Lineage: Eukaryota; Metazoa; Mollusca; Gastropoda; Neogastropoda; Cystiscidae
Description: partial 16S ribosomal RNA
Rfam family: Bacterial large subunit ribosomal RNA
Source: RNAcentral